Molecule: long non-coding RNA, 1855 nt
Filed under: Canis lupus familiaris (dog)
Lineage: Eukaryota; Metazoa; Chordata; Mammalia; Carnivora; Canidae
Description: lncRNA (ENSCAFG00845006873.1)
Source: RNAcentral
UUUGUUGUCUCUUUACCCAAGUAUGGCUUUAAUAUUUUAUUAAAAAUUCUUGAAUUUAUAAAUAUUAAAACACUGCAAUUUAUUGGCACAAGAAUGACAAUGCACUAGCAAUAAAAUCAAAAUAGAAACUAAACUAUUUAGAAGCAGUAGCAACUCCAUACUUCAAAGAUAAUUUAAACAGGCAAUUUUAGAGUGCUUCAUAUAUAUAAAAAGCAGUUCUCAGCCUGCAGUGAUGCUGCCACAUGGGCAGAUGAUGCUGCUAAGCAUCUCAGGUGCAGCAGGAAACCCUUUAACCAAUGGCUGCUGCAAUUUCUUAAUUAGCUUGAAUUAAUGAGUUCACUCAGAAUUUAUUUUGUUUACUGCUUACUGUAGUUACUCUUACACUACUUACUAACUGGUACAGAAGUGUUUUAACAACUGGUUGAGGCAGUACCGGUACCGUUUCCUUCUAUUAACACAGAAGCCACUUGGCUCCUGUGGGCAGGGACCACAUCAUCUGCUUUCCAGGGUUUGUUCCAUUCUAAUUCCCACUUUCCUGCAUUUCCAACUUUUCGUCCUCACUUGAUUCUUAACAGCAUGUUAUAACACUCAAAACUUAAAAAAAAAAAAAAAAAAAAAGUCCUCAAUUCUAUAUAUCUGCUCUCUCCACUGUCUUUCAUUGCAAAUACAGCCAAAUUUAUUGAAAAUAAUAUCCUUGGGGCAUCUGGGUGGCUCAGUGGUUGAGCAUCUGCCUUUGGCUCAGGUUGUGAUCCCGGGGUCCUGGAAUUGAGUCCUCGCAUCAUGUUCCCCACAGGGAGCCUGCCUCUCCCUCUGACUAGGUCUCUGCUUCUGUGUGUCUUUCAUGAAUAAAUAAAAUCUUUUUUUUUUUUUUUUAAGAAAAUCAUAUCCUUUCCCCCACUGCCUCCACUUCCUUCCUCCAAGUCAUUCCUUCAUUCUGAUCUCACCUGUCCAAUGGAACUUCUCCCAACAGUAUCACCAAGGUUCCUUGUGGCCAAAUCUAGUGACCACUCCUCAUUCUUGGGGUCCUCACCCCUCAGGGGCAUCCCACAUUUGGCCCUUCCUUCUUACCUGAGCUUUCAUUGCACACUUUCCAGGUUUCAUCCUGUCUGCUGGCUUUUCUUCCCCUGCUCUCCCUUUGAUUUCUGUUCUCCACUUUCUUCCUUAGCCUUCUUCUUUUUUAAGAUUAAAAAAUUAAAUUUAUUUGAGAGUCAGCAAGAGAGAACAUAAGCAGGGAAGGGCAGAUGGAGAGGGAGAAGCAGACUCCCCAGUGAGCAGAGGCAUUCGCUUAACUGACUGAACAGUGCCCUUUUCUCUUCUCAUGCUACACAUUUUCUCAGGGCUAUCUCCAUUACUCUCCUUCCCUGAUGUCGAUGCCACCCAAGUCUGUCUGCAGUCAGGACCCCCUUUCCUCCAAGCUCCACUCAAAUAAACCCUGUCACAGAAAAUGGCACCAUCACUCACCCAGUUGCCAAGUCAGAAACAGGGUAUGCAAUCUUGACUUGUCCUUCUCCCUCCUCCACACAGCAAAACAAUUCCCCAGACAUUAACCUUAUCUCCUAAGCACCCCAUAAAACUGUUUCUCUUCUUUCCAUCAGCCACUACUUAAUUCUAGUUUCCAUUCUCUUCCCCUGACAUCACUUCAAAAGCCUUGGAUCUCUCUCCCCUUUCCAAACCAGUUUCCAUACUGCAGUGAUCUAAGGCACAAAUCUCUCCUUGUUCUUAGGCCUCAAAUUCUUCACCAUUCCUCUGGAUAAAGCCUACAUCUUUAGCACAGCUCACAAAUUCCAGCAAGAGCUGGCCCAAGCCUCCCUCUCCUGCUUCACUUUUCUUUACCUGUCCCUUGCACUGUAAGCCC